This 253-nucleotide ribosomal RNA is filed under the name uncultured bacterium. RNAcentral's name for it is "partial 16S ribosomal RNA". It matches the Rfam family "Bacterial small subunit ribosomal RNA", at positions 524 to 776 of the family's 1533-position model. The record is from RNAcentral.
GACGGAGGGUGCUAGCGUUGUUCGGAAUCACUGGGCGUAAAGGGCGCGCAGGCGGCCUCAUCAGUCGGGUGUGAAAGCCCGGGGCUCAACCCCGGAACGGCACCCGAGACGGUGGGGCUGGAGACCGGGAGAGGAGGGUGGAACUGCGAGUAUAGAGGUGAAAUUCGUAGAUAUUCGCAAGAACACCAGUGGCGAAGGCGGCUCACUGGCCCGGUACUGACGCUGAGGUGCGAAAGCGUGGGGAGCAAACAGG